AGAGUUUGAUCCUGGCUCAGAUUGAACGCUGGCGGAAUGCUUUACACAUGCAAGUCGAACGGUAGAGGGGGCAACCCCUUGAGAGUGGCGAACGGGUGAGUAAUAUAUCGGAACGUGCCCAGUCGUGGGGGAUAACGUAGCGAAAGUUGCGCUAAUACCGCAUACGAUCUAAGGAUGAAAGCGGGGGAUCGCAAGACCUCGCGCGAUUGGAGCGGCCGAUAUCAGAUUAGGUAGUUGGUGGGGUAAAGGCUCACCAAGCCAACGAUCUGUAGCUGGUCUGAGAGGACGACCAGCCACACUGGAACUGAGACACGGUCCAGACUCCUACGGGAGGCAGCAGUGGGGAAUUUUGGACAAUGGACGCAAGUCUGAUCCAGCCAUUCCGCGUGCAGGAUGAAGGCCCUCGGGUUGUAAACUGCUUUUGUACGGAACGAAAAGGUUUCCAUUAAUACUGGGGGCUCAUGACGGUACCGUAAGAAUAAGCACCGGCUAACUACGUGCCAGCAGCCGCGGUAAUACGUAGGGUGCAAGCGUUAAUCGGAAUUACUGGGCGUAAAGCGUGCGCAGGCGGUUAUGUAAGACAGAGGUGAAAUCCCCGGGCUCAACCUGGGAACUGCCUUUGUGACUGCAUAGCUAGAGUACGGUAGAGGGGGAUGGAAUUCCGCGUGUAGCAGUGAAAUGCGUAGAUAUGCGGAGGAACACCGAUGGCGAA
This 712-nucleotide ribosomal RNA is filed under the name uncultured Limnohabitans sp. RNAcentral describes it as "bacterial SSU rRNA". It matches the Rfam family "Bacterial small subunit ribosomal RNA", at positions 8 to 719 of the family's 1533-position model. Lineage: Bacteria; Pseudomonadati; Pseudomonadota; Betaproteobacteria; Burkholderiales; Comamonadaceae. The record is from RNAcentral.